This is a long non-coding RNA of Choloepus didactylus (southern two-toed sloth), 2274 nucleotides long. RefSeq lists it as uncharacterized. NCBI's taxonomy places the organism in Eukaryota, Metazoa, Chordata, Mammalia, Pilosa, Megalonychidae. The transcript has 3 exons. The record is from RefSeq and is a predicted model, not a curated record.
AAAGAAAAAAGGAGUAAAUUGAUCUUAAAAUGUAACUUGAUGCAAGCAGGCAGGAAGUGAGAGGCUCUUAGUCUCACAAAAAAAGCAAAAUGUAAUUGUUCAAGUGUUAUUCUAGUCCUUUCUGCACCAUCCCCCAGGUCAAAAUGACAUAUUCUGCAUCUGUGCUCCCCCCACCCUUAGGAAGGCCUUUGUCUUAAACCCUUAUAAAAGACUUUCUGCCCUUUUUGCAUCGCUCAGUCAUUUUCCCUGCGAACGUGAUGCCUGCCUGGCCUGAGAGAGCUGUCAUGAUGUCUCCACAACUUAUCACCCUUGACAUUGAUUUGGAUGCGCCAUCUGCACAAAGCCCAGCGUUUGCCAGUUUAGCCUACAAGCUCCAACUCUGCUGAUGGCCGGCCUGCCCACCGCUCUCCCCUUGCCGAGUGGAAAAGCGCAGCUCACAGUUUCUAAGACAAUGGAUGAUCCAUUCAGUGAGAGGCAACUCUGGAUCAAGAACUGCGAGGACGUGACGUGCUUUUGCUUCAUUGCAGUUGCUGUAUCUGUUCCUUUGCGGUUUGGGUGUUUUUGUUUUAUGUCUGUCAACGCAGCAGAGGAGAUCAAACCCUUUGUGGCUUUCUUUCCUCAACAGAUAGAGUUGGGAGGUCAUGAGUGUUUUGCUGUCCUCAUAUUUUGUUCAAAAUUCAGAACAAUUUUUUCUAUGUAAAUACUGAAAGUGUAUGAUUUGUGCAGCAACUCAGCUAUUUUUAAUUUCAUAUUUUCACAUGUUAUAUUUAAGGGAUAAGGGAAUUUUUUAGAUCCUUCCCCAAGUUGCAUUCUCUAAGUUGGGUUCAUUGUGCUGGCUGGUUAUCUAAUGUGCAUCCUUACCAACAUCAAAAUGAGGGUUUUUUUGUAGGGGGUUUCUUUUUCAUGUCUUUUCUUUUGGUCAUACUGAGGCUUCCCAGUUCAGCGCAAAGGAGCAGAGUCAGCCUUACAGUGUUAGGAAGGGACUAGCUCUGCAGCCUGUUGACAAACUGCCCUGCUGGCUCUGCUGUCUUGCUUUGACCACAGAGUUUCAAUGUUUUCGGUUCUUUUAAACUAGACAACAAAGCCAGCAUUUAAAGUCUCAGAAGCAUAACUUUCUAAGGGAAGGAAAGGUUGUCACAUUAUAAAAUCCAAAAAAACCCAAAAAAACAAAACAAAAAAACCCCACACACAAUGAACUUUGAAAUGCUUCAGUCGUUUUUAGUAACAUAACCUGUAAUGGUGGAUCUGGUGAAUAUCAUUCCCAAAAAUGGUUCCGAGUUUUAGGAAUGUGGAGAAAGGAAUUACGUUGAUUCCAUUCAGGAAUCUGUAUAGCAAGUAUGCGUCCCUUCUGUUGAGAUGAAUUUACAAAAAGUGCUUCAGCUGCUCCAAGCACUGUGUGGAGGGUGUUGCAAGAGCCCAAGAGCUCAGCCCAGCGCAGAGCUCGUGAGCAGCUGCCGCCCCCGCCUCCCGCCCCCUUUAGAUACAUACGGGUAUACCAUGCAAAUAUAUUCUACCAUGAGAACCACUGUCUUUACUUUUUUUCGAACAAGAAUCUAUCCAUCCUGCCUAGCCCUGAGUUUUCCGAGCACCGCAGGUGUCCUGGGAGUUGUCUGCAUCUCAUAGGUCAUCUGACUUCCUGUUUUCAAAGUAAGGGUGUUGGGCUCUGCUGAGCGCUACAGGGAGGUGGGUAUUUGAAGUCCAUUAGGGGAGGAUGUUGGCGCAAAAAACUUAAUCCCAUGACAUCUCAUUGAUGUACAGAACUGGGGACUUUUAGAGUUGACGUCUGAUCGUGAUGGGUACCCAUCAAGGGAAAGAGUUAACGUGUCAGGCAUCUGCCCUCUUGGAGCAGGACUGGCCCGCGUGGCCACCGAGAGCCCUCAGCCACGAUGGCGGGGUUCCCGGGAAGCAUUCCCCAAUGGAGGAGCACAUAUUUUUCUGCAGUUCUUGAUUGAAAGUUGUCAGAAAUAUUUAAAAAUAUUUAAAUUGCGAACCUAUUGAUAAAGAAAUACUGAUAAAAACUGAUAUGUAGGCCUGUACUAAUCUCCAUGCAUUAGUAAUAUGGACUGUAAUCCCACACUAAGGAAACCACUGCGAGGCGCGAGCCCCGGGGGGUGCGCGUUUUAAAGCUUAACAGGGAUUGUGCUCCUUUUCCGUCAUGGUGAACCAAAUGAAUUGGCACCACUGUGGUCACGUGCUGCAGGCUUAAAAAAAUUUUGGUUAUUUUGUGUGGACAACAAUGUAGAAGCCAAAAUUGAUGUAUUACUAUGCAACGUU